CCUACGGGAGGCAGCAGUGAGGAAUAUUGGUCAAUGGGCGCGAGCCUGAACCAGCCAAGUAGCGUGAAGGAUGACUGCCCUACGGGUUGUAAACUUCUUUUAAGAGGGAAGAGCAGAAGACGGUACCUCUUGAAUAAGCCACGGCUAACUACGUGCCAGCAGCCGCGGUAAUACGUAGGUGGCAAGCGUUGUCCGGAUUUACUGGGUGUAAAGGGCGUGCAGCCGGGAAGACAAGUCAGAUGUGAAAUCCCGCGGCUCAACCGCGGAACUGCAUUUGAAACUGUUUUUCUUGAGUACCGGAGAGGUCAUCGGAAUUCCUUGUGUAGCGGUGAAAUGCGUAGAUAUAAGGAAGAACACCAGUGGCGAAGGCGGAUGACUGGACGGCAACUGACGGUGAGGCGCGAAAGCGUGGGGAGCAAACAGGAUUAGAUACCCGUGUAGUC
Molecule: ribosomal RNA, 443 nt
Filed under: uncultured bacterium
Lineage: Bacteria
Description: partial 16S ribosomal RNA
Rfam family: Bacterial small subunit ribosomal RNA
Source: RNAcentral